Long non-coding RNA from Folsomia candida, 1683 nucleotides. RefSeq lists it as uncharacterized. NCBI's taxonomy places the organism in Eukaryota, Metazoa, Arthropoda, Collembola, Entomobryomorpha, Isotomidae. The record is from RefSeq and is a predicted model, not a curated record. The transcript has 3 exons.
UAGCCUGACCUUUGACCUAUUCAAUCAUGGUAGACAUACAGAUAUAUUUAAGUUCGCAAAGGGUUUUAUUUAUGAGGGGAUCUUGUUGUGGAGUCGAAUGUAUUUUUCUGCCUGAAAUUUUGAGAACUUAAUGGUUCAUAAGUCUGUAGCCCAUCCAUGACACUGAGACUCAUUGACGCCUGAAAUCGUUCCAUCUUACUCGCCUCACCCUCUACACAUUUAUAUAUUUCCGAUCCCCAAAAAUCGAACAAAGAGCAUUGAUCUCCUGCUGCGAAUGCCUAAAAUAUCGUCGCCCUAUUACCAUCACGAACCUCACGAAUACAAAAAUAUGUAUCACGCAUAUCACUGAAAAACACUCCCAAUCCGUUUAAUUUCAUGCACCCGUGCAAAAUGUGAACAAAGCGCAUUGCCAUCAUUGGAAUAUUAAUUUGAUGGCGUGGAUAGCCAUAAGAAUGCGAAAACUGAACUCCAACCAGGAAACGGGGAUUUAGCAAGGGGUGAAUAAAUCAUAAAAUAUUGCGUGAAACUACAGACGUAAUAAUGUCAAUUGGUUUUUCCUCUAGGUACGAAGGAGGUGAAAACACGUCGGGAAAAUGUAGUCAAGUUGUCUGCGCUUUCUGGCAGUGACACCAUUCCUUCCGAAGACUUGGUUUCGUUGUCAGUCGAAGACAGUGAAAUAAUGGCAGUGGUUCUAGAGGACAGUUUUUCUUUCGUGGUCUCAUUUCACAUCCGGAGUCCGACCAAUCUCAAGAAAUAGUGUAGUUUUUUUCUCAAUUUUUUCUUCGAGAAAUGGUGCAAAUAAAUGACAGUUCAAUAUUACGUACGUUUUUAUCAUUCAAAAAUUUCCUAAUUGUUGGAGUUUUACAUGGCAUCGUUUUAUGUCUCGUUCGAUCCUUCGUCGGCGCGUGAUUCCUACUUGCAGUGGGAACUGACGGGUUGGACGGGACUCUUGAUCUUUGGAUUUCUCGGGCUUGGUCUCGUUUUAGUGGUUGUGAUAUUCGUAUUAAGCAUGGUCCUGUGCCUAGAUUACUAUAAACAUGGAGGAAGAGUUGGUGACUCGGGAGAUGAAGAAGAUCCGGAUGGAUGAAGUACUAAAAGUGCAAAUAAGAUCAUAAAUCAACUGUGUUAAUUAAACUAGCCCAAUUUUUCUGAAAAAUCUCUCGUAUAUAAAAGAAAACUUUUUAAAAUUGUAUGUAUUUAAAUGUAAAUUUUCUCUAUCACAAAAUAAAAAUUUUUUGUGUAGUUUAUGACGUCUUUCCAUACUCUCAUUUGUUAUUGAUAAAAAAAGGUUGUGAAUCGGUAGGAGGAAUCUUUAAGUUUUAUUUUAAAAGUGCGAUUAUUGAAAAACUCUGUUGUCGGCGUGCAACAUUUGCAUAAUAUUCGCACAUUUUUACCCGAAACGAACCUUUCGCGAAUGUAUGGAGAUUCAUAGAAAUUUGUAGAAUUUUGGUGAUACUACGGAGUGCCUGAUGAUGCCUUUCUUCACGUUAUUAUUAAGAUAAGCUGCCCACCUGGCCUGAACGUCCCAUUUGUAGGUAGUUAUACGCUUACAAAUCAUUACCAAGUAAAAGUAGGAGACGAAGUGGAUAUGAAAAUUGUGUAUAUUUUUGUAACCCACAUUAUACUUGUAAAUAACCUUUUAAAGUAAUCAGAGUUUAGGGUCAGACUUAAUUCCUUGUAUUA